AUGGUGGCCCGGUGGCUGCUACAGCUAGUGCUUCUUCUUGGCCUCGCCGGCGUUCUUCAGGUCCAUGGCCAGGUCGACAAGUUAGCCAGUUUCAUAACCAUAGACUGUGGCCUGCCGGAGAAUUCCCCCGGCUACAUGGACAACGUCACCAAGCUCCGGGCAACCGGGGACGCCGGCUUCACCAACACCGGCACCAACCACAACAUCUCCACCGAGUACAUCACCCCGACGAUGGGCUGGACUUGGCACACCGUGCGCAGCUUCCCCAUCGGCGUGCGCAACUGCUACACGAUCAACCCUGUAGGAUCGGCCGGGCCCAACUACCUCAUCCGUGCCUUUUUCAUGUAUGGAAACUACGACGGCCUCGAUAGUCCGCCCAUCUUCGACAUUUAUCUCGGAGUCAACUACUGGAAAACUGUGAACAUCACUGCCGCCGACAUGCCAUUGAUCGUGGAGGUCAUCGCCUACGUCUAUGGCGGCACUGUGCAGGUAUGUCUCGUGAACACCGGCUCCGGGACGCCAUUCAUCACCAGCCUGGCCCUAAGACCCCUCAAGACGACGCUCUACCCGCAAGUCAACGCGACGCAGGGGCUUGUUCUUAUCACCAGGUCCAGCUUUGGCACUAAUAAGACUGUGAGGUACCCGGACGAUGCUUACGACCGGGUAUGGCUCCCGUGGACCAAGCCGCAUCCGGACGAGUGGUUGGAGAUCUCAACGGCCGAGAACGUGGAAGACAACCUCGAAAGCUUCGAGGUGCCCUCCGCCGUGAUGCGCACCGCCGUCACGUCCGCCAACGCCUCCUCCCCCGUCCGCUUCUCGUGGGACGCGGUGCGGAACGCCAACUACCACGUCCCCGGGUACUCCUGGAUGCUCUACUUCGCGGAGCUGCAGAAGGACGCCGUGCGCGGGUUCUACAUCACCACCAACGGCGAGCUCUCGUACCCGCACGUCAUGACGCCGGCGUACCUGGCAACCGACGCCGUCUUCCAGCGCAAACCUGUCCAUGGCUUCGACCGGUACGAGAUCUCGCUGAACGCCACCGCGAACUCGACGCUCCCGCCGAUCAUCAACGCCGUCGAGGUCUUCUCGGUCCUCCCUACCACCGGCGUACCCACGGCCGCUCAGGAUGUUUCUGCCGUCACGGCGGUCAGAGACAAGUACCGGGUGAAGAAGAACUGGAUGGGGGAUCCCUGCGCGCCGAGGAAAUUUGCGUGGGAUGGAUUGAGUUGCGGCUACGCUCUCUCCGGACCACCAACUGUCAAAGGCUUGAAUCUGUCUUCAAUGGGUCUGAGUGGCAAUAUCUCGUCUUCUUUUGGGGAUCUCAAAGGUUUACAAUACCUGGAUUUGUCUCGCAACAAUCUCACCGGCUCCAUUCCUGACACCCUUUCACAAUUGUCAUCGCUUACACUUCUUGAUUUGACAAGAAACCGGCUUACUGGAGAAAUUCCUUCCAUGCUUCUGAAAAAAAGCCAAGAUGGCUUCCUAACUCUAAGAUACGAUAACAAUCCGGACCUCUGCAGCAAUGGCAAUUCAUGUGUGCCUCCAAAGAAGAAGAGCAAUUCAAUGGUUCCUGUCUAUGUUGCUAUUCCAAUAGUUGCAGUACUCGUGAUUGUGUUGCUUUUAGUGUUGCUCAUGUGCAUGCGAAGGAGAAGGCAAGGAACAGCAAGCAACAGCAUCAAGCCGCAGAAUGAGACGCGCUUUACCCUGUCGCACUCUUGGAAUAGAAACAAAGACAGCUCGCUGCAACUGAACAAUCAGCGAUUCACGUACGAGGAAAUAAAGGUCAUAACGAACAACUUCCAGCGAGUGAUCGGCCAAGGAGGGUUUGGUAAAGUCUAUGAUGGAUUCUUGGAGAAUGGCACCCAGGUGGCUGUCAAGCUUCGGUCUGAGUCAUCAGCUCAAGGUGUACAAGAGUUCCUGGUCGAGGCUCAGACGUUAGCUAAGAUUCAUCACAAAAAUCUUGUAACCAUGAUUGGCUACUGCAACGAUAGAGAGCACCUAGCCCUCGUGUACGAGUACAUGUCCGAAGGAGCCCUACAUGAACAUCUGAGAGGCAGACACUACGACACAACAUUAACCUGGGCACAGAGACUUCGUAUUGCACAGGAAUCCGCACAAGGGCUUGAGUAUCUACACAAGGGCUGCAAUCCACCCCUCAUCCAUAGGGAUGUGAAGACAUCAAACAUCUUGCUAAAUGCGAACCUUGAGGCCAAGAUUGCGGAUUUUGGCCUACUCAAGGCAUUCAAUUGCGAUGAUGAUACCCAUGUGUCCACAGCCAGGUUGGUUGGCACGCAUGGUUACAUUGCCCCUGAGUACCUAACAACAUUGCAGCUGACUAAUAAGACUGAUGUGUAUAGUUUUGGAGUAGUGUUGCUGGAAAUAGUCACGGGCCAGCCUCGCAUCUUGAAUAAUCCGGAACCUUCAAGCAUCACCAAGUGGGUCCAGGAACGGCUUUCCCAGGGAAACAUAGAGGGCGUGGUGGAUGCGCGCAUGCAUGGAGAGCACGACAUCAACAGCGUGUGGAAAGCAGCGGGCAUUGCUCUCAAGUGUACUGAGCAAACACCGGCGCAACGGCCCACAAUGACCGAGGUGGUGGUACAGCUGCAAGAGUGCCUCAAGCUCGAGAGUGUGCGCUGCAAAGGUGGCAGCAUGGAUCCUGAGUUUUACAUGGCCAGUGGCAGCGACCCAUUCUCAAGUUAUAAUCGAUACGCCACUAACCAGUCUGCUAGUACGAGCCAUAGCAAUGAUGUAUUUGAGGUGGAGCGUUUAGGCAGGGUUCCAACCAUGACUACUGGUCCUGUCGCCAGGUGA
Molecule: ribosomal RNA, 2811 nt
Filed under: Triticum aestivum (bread wheat)
Lineage: Eukaryota; Viridiplantae; Streptophyta; Magnoliopsida; Poales; Poaceae
Description: partial small subunit ribosomal RNA
Source: RNAcentral